GUUAAAUUACGAUAUUGUAUAAAUGUAAACGCGUCUUUUUGAAUUAUCACUUUCGUUUCGUUACCGAUAUAGCACUCGGUUAUUAUGUAGUCGAUAUGGCGUGGCACCAAAAAAUUUUGUUGAAAUCGAUGGCAAGAUGAAAGGCUACAUUAAAGUCAAUAAUAAAGGCUUUAAAAGUUUAGAAAAUUGGGAAUGUAACAAGUCUGGAAGUCUUUCAUAGAAAAUGUACAAACAACCGUUAGAAGUACAAAAAUAGACAACAUUGAAGUUUAGAUGGAUCUGAUAGCAUACCAUUUAUUAAUAUACAUAAAACCCAAAAAUGGUAUAUGGAAUCUUUUUAAUUUUUCAUGAUCGAAGAAAACCAUACUACAUUGCUGGAAAUGUUCAAACUUAUACGUGAAGAAAGUGUCUAUGGAUUACUUCGAAGAGUCUAUGGAUUACUUUGUACAAAUUAAAUUUGCGCAUAUUUGAACGGUUUGAGCCGAUAUUUAUAUUAUAUAAAUUUGCGCUGGGGCCAAACAAAGAAUAAAGGAUACUAGGUAGCCAACUCAUAUAUUCCUGACCGCUUUAUUUCCCUAUAACAGCAGUGCAUAUCUCCACUAUUGACAGCGUUUGCUUUCGAAACUUCCGCCAUUGCCGACAUAUUCAUAUGUAGCUUAUAUUGUUUAGUCUCGUUUAGAUAAAUUUGCUGGAUGAGUGCUACAUCAUUUGUACAAUUGAAAUAUGUAAACUUUUUAGGAUCAAAAAUGUCAAGUACUUCAGCAGAAAAUGGAUCCACGUAAGGUAUCCUGCACUCAGAUGUGAGUACGAAAUAAUCUAUCGGUGCUAUGUCGGUCGUAGUGCCAUAAAAGUGGCGAGCAUCGAGCGUAUAGAGUAUACGUAUUACCAGAAUUAUCAAACCAAUCACUAUGAUCUGCAUUGGGUUCCAGAUUACAGCCUUAAUGUUCGGCCUUCGUGAUGUGUUCCUAUUAAUUGGCAAAUAUAUCGAUUUCAACAUUUUGUUUAUUGUUUUAUGAUUAGUGUAUACAC
Bactrocera oleae (olive fruit fly) is the source of this 1029-nucleotide long non-coding RNA. RefSeq lists it as uncharacterized. The record is from RefSeq and is a predicted model, not a curated record. NCBI's taxonomy places the organism in Eukaryota, Metazoa, Arthropoda, Insecta, Diptera, Tephritidae.